RNAcentral lists this ribosomal RNA (253 nucleotides) under uncultured bacterium. Its description in RNAcentral is "partial 16S ribosomal RNA". It matches the Rfam family "Bacterial small subunit ribosomal RNA", at positions 524 to 776 of the family's 1533-position model. The record is from RNAcentral.
UACGUAGGGUGCAAGCGUUAAUCGGAAUUACUGGGCGUAAAGCGUGCGCAGGCGGUUCUAUAAGACAGAUGUGAAAUCCCCGGGCUCAACCUGGGAACUGCAUUUGUGACUGUAGAGCUGGAGUGCGGCAGAGGGGGAUGGAAUUCCGCGUGUAGCAGUGAAAUGCGUAGAUAUGCGGAGGAACACCGAUGGCGAAGGCAGGUCUCUGGGCUGACACUGACGCUCAUGCACGAAAGCGUGGGGAGCAAACAGG